This 373-nucleotide transfer-messenger RNA is filed under the name Chitinophagaceae. RNAcentral's name for it is "Ferruginibacter sp016721385 Standard tmRNA". It matches the Rfam family "transfer-messenger RNA". From Rfam's summary of the family: Bacterial tmRNA, also known as 10Sa RNA or SsrA, is named for its dual tRNA and mRNA-like properties. Its role is to liberate the mRNA from a stalled ribosome. The record is from RNAcentral. Lineage: Bacteria; Pseudomonadati; Bacteroidota; Chitinophagia; Chitinophagales. RNAcentral also lists the same sequence under 1 other name.
GGGGCUGACCGGUUUUGACAGCAUAAAUCUUUGUAAGUGUAAGCAUGUAGUGCGUUGUAUAAUUAGCACUUUAAUCUGAAUAUUCAACCUUUCAAAUGGCAAUACACAGUAUGCCAUGGCUGCUUAAUCGAUAGAUUAGCAUCCAUUAGGGCCGCCGGGCAGGUUCACCUUUUACCAUGCUCCGCCGCCGACUCAAAAACAAAAAAGGUUGCUGUAAUAGAAUGAUGUGACUAUUGCUUAAGACUAUUCAUCUAAGGAAGUGGUUGGUUUGUUUGGCUCCUGCCAUUUCUCUACAAUUAAUGCCAAAAUAAACAUGUAGAAAGCUUAUAACGAGUAUGUUUGGACCAGGGUUCGAUUCCCUGCAGCUCCACUU